Molecule: RNA transcript, 3864 nt
Organism: Salvia miltiorrhiza (redroot sage)
Lineage: Eukaryota; Viridiplantae; Streptophyta; Magnoliopsida; Lamiales; Lamiaceae
Gene name: altered inheritance of mitochondria protein 3-like
Exons: 5
Source: RefSeq, a predicted model, not a curated record
UAUUUGUUUCGAACUUUCGAGGGAUCAAAGAUCACCACCAAAGCCCUAAACUCCUUCGCUCCUUUUCAUACAUCAUCAUCAAUGGCUCUUCACCUUCGUCGCCUCCACCGCGCUCUUUCCCAAUCAUAUUUCCUACUCGAGCACUCUUUCCAUGGCCGCACAGCCAAACUAAUCUCCUCGACCUCCGCCCCUCGGUUUCUUCCAACCCCCGCCGCCACUACGCAGUUCAUGCGGCGGCCUUUCACUUCAACCCCCACUCUAUUCCGCAGGGCAUUCAAUCCGGAGACAGAUGAAAUCAGGCCCGACGCCGUCCUCUUCGAAGGAUGCGAUUACAACCACUGGGUGAUCACCGUCGAUGUCCACAAGGAUUCCAAUAUCACAUUCGAUCAGAUGAUUGAAACCUAUGUCAACAUUGCUGCCCAAGUCUUCGGCAGUGUGGAAGAGGCAAAGAAGAGGAUAUAUGCACUGAGCACAUGUCAAGGUUUUAAGGUUGAGUGUUCAGAAGAGACAUCUGAAAAGUUUAGAAGUAUACCAGCAGUUUCAUUUGUAUUACCAGAUUCAUACAUUGAUCCAGCAAUCAAGGAGUAUGAAGGAGACAAGUAUGUCAAUGGAGAGAUUUUUCCUAGACCACCCACAGUGCAUUAUGGCCCGCCAUCCCAACAGAACUAUGGCCAACCACCACCGCAGCAGAACUACGGACAACCACCACCCCUGCAGCAGAGCUACAGACAACCACCACCACUGCUGCAGAACUACAGACACCCACCACCGCAGCAGAACUAUGGACAACCACCACCACCACCACCACCGCAGCAGUACUAUGGACCACCACCACCACAGCAGUACUAUGGACAACCACCACCACCACCACCACCGCAGCAGUACUAUGGACCACCACCACCACAGCAGUACUAUGGACAACCACCACCACCACCACAGCAGUACUAUGGACAACCACCACCACCACCGCAGCAGAACUAUGGACAACCACCACCACCACUGCAGCAGUACUACAGACAACCACCACCACCACCGCAGCUGAACUACGGACAACCACCACCACCACAGCAUUACUACGGACAACCACCACCACCGCAGCAUUGCUACGGACAACCACCACCGCAGCAUUACUAUGGACAACCACCACUACCGCAGCAGAACUACGGACUAUCACCACCACCGCACAAGAACUAUGCACUACCACCACCAUCGCAGAAGAACUAUGGACAACCACCACCACCGCAGCAGAACUACGGACUACCACCACUGCAGAACUACGGACAAUCUCCACUGCAGCAGAACUAUGGACAACCACCACCGCAGCAGAACUAUGGGCCGCUGCCCCAACAGAACUUUUGGCAAUCACAGCAACAUAAUCCUGGGCCACCACCGUGUCAGAACUAUGCAUCGCCCCAGCAGCAUCAAAGCUACAGACCACCACUACCACCACAGCAGAACAAUAUGCCCAACACACGUGGAGAUUAUGGAAAGUCACCUAAUUUCCCACCUCAUCCAAAGAAUAAUCCAGCGGGACCUGGUAAAAGAAGUAAUACCUCAGGACACAAUGAAAGAAUUUUAGUGCCUUCUUAUCAGGGAAGAUACAAUCAAGCAGAGCCCAAGACCCGUUCUGCAGUUGGACAAGGAAACUUCCAGAGCCAUCCCCAACCUGGAGAAAGAGGAUUUUUGAAGAAGAUAAUUACUGAGUUUUCAGUAGAUGGAGUUUUUGAACAAGCAGAGCCUAAGACCCAUUCUGCAGUGGGACGAGGAAACUUCCAGAGCCAUCCGCAACCUAGAGAAAGGGGAAUUUUGGAAGAAGCUAAAUGCGAGUUUUCAGUAGAUAGAGCUUUUGAACAAGCAGAACCUGAGACUCGUGCUGCAGUCGGACAAGGAAACUUCCAGAGCCAUCCCCAACCUAAGACCCAUUCUGCAGUGGGACGAGGAAACAUCCACAUCCCCAACCAUGACAAAGAGGAUAUUUGCAAGAAGCUAGUUACUGAGUUUUCAGUAGAUGGAGUUUCUGAGCAAGCAGAGCCUGAGAACCGUUCUGCAGUGGGACAAGCGAAGCCUGAAAAAAGGGGAUUUUUGGAAGUAGCUAACUACGAGUAUUCAGCAUUAGAUGGAGUUUUGGAACAAGUAGUGCCUAGUAAGACCCGUUCUGCAGUGGAGCAAGGAAACUCCCACGUCCUCAACCCUGACGAAGAGUAUUUUUUCAAGAAGGUAACGGAAAGGUUUUCACUAGGAGUCUCUGAACAAGCGGAGCCUGAGACCCAUUCUGCAGUGGGACAAGCAGAGCCUGAGACCCGUUCGGCAGUGGGACAAGCGAAGCCUGAAAAAAGGGGAUUUUUGGAAGUAGCUAACUACGAGUAUUCAGCAUUAGAUGGAGUUUUGGAACAAGUAGUGCCUAGUCAGACCCGUUCUGCAGUGGGGCAAGGAAACUCCCACGUCCUCAACCCUGACGAAGAGUAUUUUUUCAAGAAGGUAACGGAAAGGUUUUCACUAGGAGUCUCUGAACAAGCGGAGCCUGAGACCCGUUCUGCAGUGGGACAAGCAGAGCCUGAGACCCGUUCUGCAGUGGGACAAGCGAAGCCUGAAAAAAGGGGAUUUUUGGAAGUAGCUAACUACGAGUAUUCAGCAUUAGAUGGAGUUUUGGAACAAGUAGUGCCUAGUAAGACCCGUUCUGCAGUGGGGCAAGGAAACUCCCACGUCCUCAACCCUGACGAAGAGUAUUUUUUCAAGAAGGUAAUGGAAAGGUUUUCACUAGGAGUCUCUGAACAAGCAGAGCCUGAGACCCGUUCUGCAGUGGGACAAGCAGAGCCUGAGACCCGUUCUGCAGUGGGACAAGCGAAGCCUGAAAAUAGGGGAUUUUUGGAAGUAGCUAACUACGAGUAUUCAGCAUUAGAUGGAGUUUUGGAACAAGUAGUGCCUAGUAAGAGCCGUUCUGCAGUGGGGCAAGGAAACUCCCACGUCCUCAACCCUGAAGAAGAGUAUUUUUUCAAGAAGGUAACGGAAAGGUUUUCACUAGGAGUCUCUGAACAAGCGGAGCCUGAGACCCAUUCUGCAGUGGGACAAGCAGAGCCUGAGACCCGUUCUGCAGUGGGACAAGCGAAGCCUGAAAAAAGGGGAUUUUUGGAAGUAGCUAAUUACGAGUAUUCAGCAUUAGAUGGAGUUUUGGAACAAGUAGUGCCUAGUAAGAACCGUUCUGCAGUGGGGCAAGGAAACUCCCACAUCCUCAACCCUGACGAAGAGUAUUUUUUCAAGAAGAUGACGGAAAAGUUUUCGCUAGGAGUUUUUGAACAAGCAGAUUCUGAUACCCAUUCUGCAGUGGGGCAAGGAAACUUACCAUGCUAUUCCCAACCUGGACAAAAGGGAUUUUUGGAAGAAGCUAAUUACUAGUUUUCAGUAGAUGGGGCUUAUGAACAAAGCAUAAGGGAGACGGAGAAACUUUUCAACUGCUCAAAAUAACUGACCAAGUGAAAGUUUGAAGAUUUCUUGCAUCGACCCCAAGUGUUACGUUUUUCCUCGUUAAUUUGUACAAGAUCCCUCAUCGGUUCACAUUCUUACAACAUUUGUACAAGAUCCCUCAUUCAAAUCACUGAAAGUAGAACACGACUAAAUACACCCACCAAUUCCGGUCCAAGUUUUCACAGCAAAGUCGUCGAUCAGCCUAUAGCAGAGGGAAAACAUAAUCCAAGUAACAGUUUAUUGAGCUAUUCACGUGAGAUCUAAAGUUCUCUUUCUCGCUGAAGGUUAAGGAAACUGGGAAUUUAGUUUAUCACUGUUUAUUUUAAUGUUUUUCGUUCUGAAAAUGUACUUGCAAUUAUGUGCAUACCAUCUGUUUGAUAAAAUGCGUGUGAGACUAAUUAA